UAGAAAAAUUGAUAAAUUUUAUUAAAAAUUUUUUUUCUCGUCUGAAAAUGUUUUUAAGAAUGAAAUAAUUUGAGCAAGGUGGUCAUUAAUAUCGAGUCAUUUAAAAAAUGUUUAAUUCCAAAUGAUAUGUAUGCAUAUAAUAAAGACAUUGUUAAUUAUUUUAAUGACAACUACCUUCUAAAAUCUUAAGCAACAAUACUAUGAAAACUUAAUAAUACAAUAUAUUCCUUCUUUUAGGAAAUAAUAAAUUGUAUUGCACAAUACAAAUAAGAUUUUUUUUUCAAACAAUUGCUGUUAGAACAGCAGAAAUAUUGGGUUAAUUAUCCUAACAGAGUGGAAAAAUUUGUCAACAAACAGCCAUUGGACUCAAACCCACAUCCCUCACAACUCUGGCUGAGUGCUUUACCAUUACGUUAAACUGCCCACUAACAAAUUUCUGCUGUUCUAAUGGCAAUUCUGUGUUUGGAAAAAUAUUUUAUUUGCAUCAAUACAAUACACAUUUUGAUGCUUAAAAAAACACACAAAAAAACAUGUUAGUUUGUUUAUAUUUAUAUACAUGUAAAUCAAUUGUAUAUUGCACCAAUGAAAAAUUAAACCUUCACCAUCAUAUGCAAGUUAUGAGUGAGAAUACACAAUGCCCAGCUGAUAAAAGACAAUCCCCCCUCCACCUCUCUCUAUUCAGUACUUAUAUCUUGUUUGAUCUACAUAGGUACACUGUAUUCAUUCCACUCUGCAAUUUUUGCUUCAGUUCAUUUUCUUGUGACUUCACCUUAGCACCUUCUCAGGGAUUGGACUCAGAACCUCUAGGUGACUACAUUGCAUUAACCAACAUCUUUACUCACUAUGCUAUGUCCGUAGGCAGUGACACAGUGAAUUUUUAAGGCUUAUACACUUAAUGCCUGUGUAAUCUAAUGUUAUUACUUUUGUGGCAGUCUGCCCUUUUCUUCCUUAAUUAUUUGUUCCCAUAUUGUAUUUAACUCUGCACUUGACCUGCCUAACCCUUUCGUUACCAACCCGACUGAAACUGCCUAUGGCUCUGUAGUACAAAGGUCUUGUUUUCAUAAGUUUUGAAUUAAAAUCUUUCACCAAACCUUAAUCACAAUUUAUGUUCCUAACACUAGCUGAAUGAUAACUAAGUUAUUUCACUAAAUUCUUUGUUAUAUUUAAAGUAAUUGAAAGAAACACAGAGCAUCUCAAAAUAAAUACAGUAAUGAAAGGGUUAAGCAAGUAGCACACAUAGGAAAACUGCCUAAGUUUUCUAAUUUUCCAGUGGUGCUCUCUAACUGAUAUUCUGACCUCAUUCCAUAGUGGCUGGUGGCCUUCAUUUUCCCAAAUGUAAUUGGCUAUACCUGACUUAUCAAUAUCCCUCCAUGUCAUGGUUUUCUGAUGUUCCCCUACUCAUACUUCAAGGGGGUAGCAUGUCUCUCCUUUGUAAACCUUACCACAGCUGCACACAGUUUUUGGUUAUAUUCUCUUGUAUGAGGGCCUUCACUUGGAAGAGGUAUCUGCUAAGUGUUGAAUUACUUCUCAAUACCAUCCUGAUGUCAUAUGGACCACAGAUCUUUUUGUCUUUUCUGAGGCCACUGACAUAGGGUAGUCAUACCAUGGCAAUGUUUUCUUGGAUUUCAUCUUCUUCCCUCCUCCUAGCUAGGGUAGAUAGUAUGCUUGCUGGGCAGUUGCUACAUUGUAGUGUUUCUCAGUUUGAUCAUUUCUUAGUAGUAUAUGCCAGGAUUGUUACUUAUAGUUUUUGCUCAAUGUCGUAGGUAAUGAGCAAUCCCUCUCUUGACACUGUACUAGCUUAAAAGCCACACUGUGUGCAGACUUUUAAGCUACCUCCUGUCUAAUUAGACCUGUGGCCUAAAAUUAAUGAGAGCUAAAUAGCAUGACUAUAUGCCCUGGUGGUGUUUGAUCAGAGGUUAAAAGAUGGAUGAGAAUUAAUUCUGUAAUGCAAUCAUUCUAUUGCUCCAGUCCCCAAGUUGACUUCCAACUGUUGGCCAAUUUGCCCUAAAGUUAUUAUCUCAACAUAAGCGAAUGUCAUUUACCUCCCCCUUGAUUUCUGAUAAACGCCAACCAAGAUGGCAUGACUCAGCCAAGCUUUACCUGCUAGAAGUAGCAACCCAAAUGCUUCUAAAUCAGAUCCCAAUGCUGAAUGUUUAAGAACCAAAUGAAGGGCAGAUUUUCAAUCCUUGGAUUAUUCUGGUACCAAAAAGGUAUAUGUUUAUGUAGAGGAAAUGUGGACUGAGAUACAGAGAUCCUGAACAAACAGAAUUUCAUGUUUAUUAAUAUAGACGGAUGAUGAGAAUUGAAGUUGGGGUACUCUUCUGUGAAUGUUGGUUUUGAAUAUAGUGAGUGGAAUGAGAACAGUGUACCUCCAUGUAUCAAAGGGUUAGGUUUGAAAUUCUGAUACAACUGAGUUUGACACAAGACACUAGUAGAAGGCUGCAGGGUAGAACAGUCAAAACAUAGUGAAAGCAACAAUCAAGAUGAGGACAUCAGUUUGAUUAAUGUAAAUAGGGUACAUAAUAUAAAUUCCUCAUUGCAGAAAUUGUGUUUCUAUGAUAGUAGCCAAAGGGGGCAAUAGAGGCUUUCAGCUACCAAUGGGAAUUGUUGUGAUGGAAAUUAGCCAAAGUUUUAAAUAUAAGUAGUGGAAGUUGGACCUGUAUUAUAAAAGCAAGUGGAGGAGGAGUGCAUUGCAAAAUCAGGCGGGCUUAUGUAGGAGUUAUUUGUGUCGAUAUGAUUCUGUAUGAGAAUACUAAAGGAAUUAAGGGAGAAAGAUGAUUAUGAAAUCAUAAUUAAAUCUUUAACCCACCUUUGUUAACCCAUUCAACUUUCUAACACAGUGCUCCCACCCCCUAUCUCCAUCCUGCACAACAAAAACUCCAAUAGUAUAAGGAUUAUAUCCAGCACCAUAAAGAUCCAUAAUACAGGUAUCCUUUGGCAACACCAUGAAAUGAGAAACUAACAUGUACCUGUCACAGCAUAGACCUGCUCCAUGAAAGGCAAGUUGAAACAAGCAUGUUUUCUGUAUUUUCCAACAGUUGAUCCUACUAUAUUGGGUUGAUGGUAAACAUUCAAAAGCUGUCUACACCAACUCAACUCAUUCUGCUAUCUGGAAUAAAACCUCCACAUCUCUCUCCAAACACAUUUGGAAAUCAAAGAAUACAAAAAAAGCAGAUACCACAUGGGAAAUCAUUGAAUACUAGAGAAAUGGAUAGAUGGUCUACAGUCUUCCUCAUAGUUUCCCUAACAGCUUUCACCCAACUAUAAUCCUAAAGAAAAGAACCAAACUCAUUGCAAAUUACUACCAUAUACCAAAGUUCCUGUUGGUCAGCAUGGAAGAAGUGAUACUUACUGAACCUAAAAGAAUGGGUAUCAUGAAAUACAAAAUCAAUCAUGUGGCUAAUUACAGGUGCUUGACCACCAUUUAAGAUCUACUGAUGAGAAUGGUGAAUUUAUAAGAAACAGUGAAAUAGGAGGAAAUAACUAUCUAAAUUAAAACAUUUAAGGCAAUAUUGAAGGUGUAAAUGCAGAAAAAGUUUAUUUUGCAUAUCUCUAAUAACAUUAUUUAUAAAAUCAAAGUGAAAUACAUACAUGUGUGUGUGCAUGCAAACACAUAUCAGUAAAUGUUAAGAAAGAAAAUUCACAUUUUCAAUAAUAUUUGUUAAUUUGGCAAAUAUCUGCACUAUUAAGGCACACUGAUCUUAGAAUAUAGAAACUGAGGAAAACCUGGUUCUCCCUAAAAAUAUAUAUUUAUCAUUGUUUUUAUACCACAAAUCAUUAAAUAUCCAAAAUCUUUCAACAAAAGACUAUACCAACUUUAAAGGAAAAGAUUUUGAAGUUGUUUGAUCAGUCAAUCUAGUAAAUAACAGCAACUGAAAUACAGCCAUGAAUAAAAGAUAUAGUUACAGAGACAAAAAAAGUUUAACACUGCACAUAUGUGAAAAUAAAUAAACAAUGCAGAAAAAAGAUUUUUAAAAUGCUGGUCUGAGUUGUUACAUUUGUUUCUUCCCUCUUGUUCAUAAAACACUAAGUUUUCCCUAGUUCAGCUAUAAACUAUUAAUUAGCUAUUGUGUUGCAUAAUAUGAAAAUAUCACAACAAAAAGUAUUAAACAUGUAAAGCUUGAGUAAACAGAAAGUAAAACCAGUUAAGUUUUGAAAUAGAUGGAGUAAUCUGAAAGAUUCCAGCCAAGUCUGAAAUCAUAUUUCAAUGAUAUAAACAAAAAAUGGUAAUACACAACAUUUUUGAUUAGUUCAGGAGUCAAAAAUUAAAUCAUAUUCAGUUUUUAAAUGUAAUUCUAAACCAGUCUCUCUUUUCAAUGUGUUACUAACACAUUCCAAAUAACCAAAAUAGUUUUGAUGAGAAGAGGUCAAUAGGUUAAAGUUCAUGUAUGGCAAGGCAAGGUCAAAAGGACAAGUAAACUUCCUAGAGAGAGGAAUAGAGAGAAGGAAGCCCACUAACUCUACGUUUCAUUAUAGUGUUAGUUCUAAUAAACUAAAAGUGAUUAUAUUUAAUUUCUGUAGAAUGGUUAAGAAUUUAGUUUGUGGUCACAAAUUUCUGAAUUCAGCACCCAGGGUGGCAUCUAUCUACAGCAAGUGUCAUUUGCCAUUGUACCUCUAAUACAAAAAGGUACAGCCUUGGGUCUUCAUGACAGUUAUAAUUAACAUUCUUGUUGCCAUAGUACUACUGAAAAUUUACUGCCUUUGUUUGAAUUAGUUUUGAAAAGGAUAACUCAGUAAAAUAACUCAUUAUUAAUGUAGUAUUUGAAACGUAUUUUAGCACGAAAAUUUGAUGGAAAGUUUUAAUUUAGAUCACUUUGAAACAGGAAGAUUGCAUCAUAGAACCAGGGUAAGUCUCAGGAGAGUUGGUAUCAAAAUGUGUGUGUGGAACACGCAGUCACUUACAAGCUAAUUCAAUGAGCAGAUAAUCCAGUUGAUCAAACAACUGAAUAUGUAUCAUCGUCAAUGCCAAAAGAGAUCAAUUUUAUUUGUUAAACACGAAGAGACGCCUUCAGUAUAAUAGCUGACAUCAGAUGAACAAUACUUCAGAUCUGUUUGAAUAAACAAAAUAUUAGUGACCUCUAAUAGACCUUGAAAUAUUCAGGGAGACAGUGUGAGUACAGUCGAUUAUAUCAACCUAAGUAUGUGACUAGCACUUUAUUUUGUUGACUCAAAAGGAUGAAAGGCAAAAUGCACCUUACUGAGAUUCAAAUUCCAAAUGGCAAAGCCCAUGACUAAAUGUCACAAUGGACAGCUGAACUAGUUUUAUCAAUUCUAAAACCAACAAACACACACAGCUUUUUGCUUAGUAUUCAGCAAAGUUAACAGCAUAACAAUCAAAUUAUUUUGUAAAUUAAAAAAAAACCAAAGCCUUCAUCUUGAAUGAAAAUAUGGUUAAAUAUUGUAAAAAAAAAAAAAAAAAAUAAUAAUAAUAAUAAAAAGCAAAUGUCAUUUGGCAAUACAUUGUAGAAAAUAGCAUGACAAGGAAAAACAUUUAGAGAAAUUAAUUUUUGUUUUUUUAAUGAGUGGAUGUAAGAGAAUGGAGGUAAAAAUAUAACCAACCCUUCUUAAUGUAAAACCUCAAAUAUAACACCACUGAUAUAAUGAUAACAUAUCAGUUGUCAGAAAGACUUCCUCCUGCCCCCCCGCCCCCCUUCUUGCAAAUUAUUGUUUUCACUUAAAAAGAAAUUUUUUUUGCUGAAAACCCAUGUUUUCGGAUAUGGAGAUUCCAGAAAAUUGCAAAAGAUUGGAAUUUUGAAAUUCCGCCCCGCCAUUCCCCCCUCAAUUUCUUCAUUUUUCACUCUUUCCCAUAACCCAAACCCUAACCAGAAAAAUUUUUUGAAAUUUGUUUCAGAAUCAUAACCUCCAUAUUUAUCUGCAUAUUUACAAGGAAAAAAAAAAAAAAAAAAAAAAAAAACU
RNAcentral lists this long non-coding RNA (5916 nucleotides) under Octopus vulgaris (common octopus). The record is from RNAcentral. Lineage: Eukaryota; Metazoa; Mollusca; Cephalopoda; Octopoda; Octopodidae.